CGUUCCCGGGUCUUGUACACACCGCCCGUCACACCACGGGAGUUGGGGGCGCCCGAAGCCGGAUUGCUAACCUUUUGGAAGCGUCCGUCGAAGGUGAAAUCAAUAACUGGGGUG
This 114-nucleotide ribosomal RNA is filed under the name uncultured bacterium. Its description in RNAcentral is "partial 16S ribosomal RNA". It matches the Rfam family "Bacterial small subunit ribosomal RNA", at positions 1369 to 1482 of the family's 1533-position model. The record is from RNAcentral.